Molecule: ribosomal RNA, 438 nt
Filed under: uncultured bacterium
Lineage: Bacteria
Description: partial 16S ribosomal RNA
Rfam family: Bacterial small subunit ribosomal RNA
Source: RNAcentral
AACGAACGCUGGCGGCAUGCCUAACACAUGCAAGUCGAACGAGACCGUCGGGUCUAGUGGCGCACGGGUGCGUAACGCGUGGGAACCUGCCCUUAGGUUCGGAAUAACUCCCCGAAAGGGGUGCUAAUACCGGAUAAUGUCUUCGGACCAAAGAUUUAUCGCCUUUGGAUGGGCCGGCGUCGGAUUAGCUAGUUGGUAGGGUAAAAGCCUACCAAGGCGACGAUCGAUAGCUGGUCUGAGAGGGUGAUCAGCCACACUGGGACUGAGACACGGCCCAGACCCCGACUGGAGGGAGAGGGGGGGAGGGGGAAAUAAUGACCGGGGGCCAGAUGCAGCAACACCACGGGCGGGAAGGUGGUGAACGGGUUGGGGACUUAAAGCUCUUUUACCGGAGCGUGAAUGACGGGAACGGGUAAAAAAGCCCCGGCUAACUACGUG